Molecule: ribosomal RNA, 309 nt
Filed under: uncultured bacterium
Lineage: Bacteria
Description: bacterial SSU rRNA
Rfam family: Bacterial small subunit ribosomal RNA
Source: RNAcentral
GACGAACGCUGGCGGCGCGCCUAACACAUGCAAGUCGAACGGAGAAAAGACAGCUUGCUGGAUUUUCUUAGUGGCGGACGGGUGAGUAACACGUGAGCAACCUGCCCCUCAGAGAGGGAUAACGUUUGGAAACGAACGCUAAUACCUCAUAACAUCGGGAUGCGGCAUCGCAACCUGAUCAAAGAUUUAUCGCUGAGGGAUGGGCUCGCGUCCGAUUAGGUAGUUGGUGAGAUAACAGCCCACCAAGCCGACGAUCGGUAGCCGGACUGAGAGGUUGAACGGCCACAUUGGGACUGAGACACGGCCCAG